UGGGUAACCUGCCUCAAAGAGGGGAAUAGCCUCCCGAAAGGGAGAUUAAUACCGCAUAAUAUGUUUAAGUCGCAUGACUUUAACAUCAAAGGAUUUUCUUUUAGAACUUCCACUUUGAGAUGGACCCGCGGCGCAUUAGCUAGUUGGUGAGGUAACGGCUCACCAAGGCAACGAUGCGUAGCCGACCUGAGAGGGUGAUCGGCCACAUUGGAACUGAGACACGGUCCAGACUCCUAGGAG
This 240-nucleotide ribosomal RNA is filed under the name uncultured bacterium. Its description in RNAcentral is "partial 16S ribosomal RNA". It matches the Rfam family "Bacterial small subunit ribosomal RNA", at positions 118 to 347 of the family's 1533-position model. The record is from RNAcentral.